GUCAGGAGUUAGCCUUGGCUGAGGCUGUGCAACUGCGGUCUAGAUUUCACAAUGUCUCAAAAACUGGCUUCAGGAUCCUUUCUGAAUUUAAGGCUGACAAGAGGCAGAGUAAAACAACCUUUGCCAAGGACCUGGUGUGAAAUGCAUCACAGAAAAAGGAGGUGAGCUUCAAGCAAAAUGGCCCAAGUCAAAAUGCAGAAAAUAUAUGUGCACAAACAGACAGGGAACCUACAGGAAAGGACAAAAUAGUGCAGGCUAAAAUUGGAAACACAUGAUGGUCUGAAGCUGAAUCUGAAGAGCUGAUUAUUGACUUCAGAAAGGGCAAAGAAAGAGAAUAUAGAAUAGCCCACAUCAGGGAUUUGGCAGCAGAGAGUCAGCAGCUUUAAGUUCUUGGGUAGCUCAAUGUAUGGAAUUACCAGUCCUAGUUCCUGCACAUCAAUGCAAUCACAAAUGAGGCACGCCAAUCCCUUUACUUUCUUAGAAAGUUAUGGAGGUUCAGCUUGUCACUGAACAUGAACAAAUAUAUGCAGGUUACAGUUGAAAAUAACUUGACAACUACUUCCCUUUAACUAUUUGGAUCUUGACCUCCAAUCAGAACGCUAAUAAGAAUCAAACUUUAAUUUGGUUCUUAAACUCAGCAUAACUUUAAUCGCUGCAGUUUAGCAACACUAUGACCACUUCAAUUACUUUGCACUAAAAUGGACUUCCACAGGGACACAAGGGAUUCUGCAGCUGCUGGAAAUAUUGAGCAACAUGCACAAAAUGCUGGAGGAACUCAGCAGGUCUGGCAGCAUCUGUGGAAGGAAAUGAUCAGUCAGCUUUUUGGGCUGAAACACUUCAUCAGAACUCCUGUAUCCAGAAUCUGG
This is a long non-coding RNA of Hypanus sabinus (Atlantic stingray), 866 nucleotides long. RefSeq lists it as uncharacterized. The transcript has 3 exons. The record is from RefSeq and is a predicted model, not a curated record. NCBI's taxonomy places the organism in Eukaryota, Metazoa, Chordata, Chondrichthyes, Myliobatiformes, Dasyatidae.